This 638-nucleotide ribosomal RNA is filed under the name Candidatus Nanopelagicaceae bacterium. Its description in RNAcentral is "bacterial SSU rRNA". It matches the Rfam family "Bacterial small subunit ribosomal RNA", at positions 28 to 681 of the family's 1533-position model. The record is from RNAcentral. Lineage: Bacteria; Bacillati; Actinomycetota; Actinomycetes; Candidatus Nanopelagicales; Candidatus Nanopelagicaceae.
GACGAACGCUGACGGCGUGCUUUAUACAUGCAAGUCGAACGAUGAAGUUCCUUCGGGAAUGGAUUAAUGGCGAACGAAUGAGGAACACGUGAGAAACCUGCCUUUCAUUCUGGGAUAACACCGGGAAACCGGUGCUAAUACCGGAUACUCCAUCUUGGCGGCAUCGCCGAGCUGGGAAAAAAUUUUGAUGAAAGAUGGUCUCGCGGCCUAUCAGCUAGUUGGUGAGGUAAAGGCUCACCAAGGCGACGACGGGUAGCCGGCCUGAGAGGGCGACCGGCCACACUGGGACUGAGACACGGCCCAGACUCCUACGGGAGGCAGCAGUAGGGAAUAUUGGGCAAUGGGCGAAAGCCUGACCCAGAGACGCCGCGUGAGGGAUGAAGGUCUUCGGAUUGUAAACCUAUUUCAGUAGGGAAGAAGCGAAAGUGACGGUACCUAAAGAAGAAGCACCGGCUAACUAUGUGCCAGCAGCCGCGGUAAUACAUAGGGUGCAAGCGUUGUCCGGAAUUAUUGGGCGUAAAGAGCUCGUAGGUCGUUUGUCGCGUCGAUUGUGAAAAUCUGAGGCUCAACCUCAGACCUGCAGUCGAUACGGGCAAACUAGAGUGUGGUAGGGGAGACUGGAAUUCCUGGUGUAGCGG